AAUAGGAAAAAAAAGGAAAAUGCACAUUUAAUUAUAUUCUUCCUUAACUUCCUUAGCACCCAUAGCAUCCACAGCAUUUUACACGUGGUAUAUCCCUCCUAGUUUCGAUCAUUCAUGGUACAAUGUUGGAUGUAUUGUCAUCCAACACAAAUGAAUACUAAAUGUAUGGAACUAUGAAUGCUUUGAAUUAACUUGAAGGUGGAUAUCGAUGGCCCUCUUUAUGCUAAUUUAUGGACUCUGGAUAAUAAAUUUAUAUUGGAUAAUUAUCAUUA
Drosophila mojavensis is the source of this 272-nucleotide long non-coding RNA. RefSeq lists it as uncharacterized. NCBI's taxonomy places the organism in Eukaryota, Metazoa, Arthropoda, Insecta, Diptera, Drosophilidae. The transcript has 2 exons. The record is from RefSeq and is a predicted model, not a curated record.